Molecule: ribosomal RNA, 496 nt
Filed under: uncultured bacterium
Lineage: Bacteria
Description: partial 16S ribosomal RNA
Rfam family: Bacterial small subunit ribosomal RNA
Source: RNAcentral
GAUGAACGCUGGCGGCGUGCCUAAUACAUGCAAGUCGAGCGAACGGACGAGAAGCUUGCUUCUCUGAUGUUAGCGGCGGACGGGUGAGUAACACGUGGAUAACCUACCUAUAAGACUGGGAUAACUUCGGGAAACCGUAGCUAAUACCGGAUAAUAUUUUGAACCGCAUGGUUCAAAAGUGAAAGACGGUCUUGCUGUCACUUAUAGAUGGAUCCGCGCUGCAUUAGCUAGUUGGUAAGGUAACGGCUUACCAAGGCAACGAUGCAUAGCCGACCUGAGAGGGGAAUCGGCCACACUGGACCUGAGACCCGGUCCAGCCUCCUACGGGAGGCAGCAGUAGGGAAUCUUCCGCAAUGGGCGAAAGCCUGACGGAGCAACGCCGCGUGAGUGAUGAAGUUCUUCGGAUCGUAAAACUCUGUUAUUAGGGAAGAACAUAUGUGUAAGUAACUGGGCCCUUCUUGACGGUACCUAAUCAGAAGGCCCCGGCUACCUCCGU